RNAcentral lists this ribosomal RNA (404 nucleotides) under uncultured bacterium. RNAcentral's name for it is "bacterial SSU rRNA". It matches the Rfam family "Bacterial small subunit ribosomal RNA", at positions 355 to 776 of the family's 1533-position model. The record is from RNAcentral.
UAAAGAAUCUUCCACAAUGGGCGAAAGCCUGAUGGAGCAAUACCGCGUGAACGAUGAAGGUCGAAAGGUUGUAAAGUUCUUUUCUGAGGGAAGAAUUCUGACGGUACCUCAGGAGUAAGCACCGGCUAACUCCGUGCCAGCAGCCGCGGUAAUACGGAGGGUGCAAGCGUUACCCGGAAUCAUUGGGCGUAAAGCGUCUGCAGGUGGUUUGUUAAGUUGAAUAUUAAAUCUUGAAGCCCAACUUCAAGUCUGUAUUCAAAACUGGCGUACUAGAGAGUUCCAGAGGCACGUGGAAUUUUGUGUGUAGGGGUAAAAUCCGUAGAUACACAGAAGAACACCAAAAGCGAAGGCAACGUGCUGGGAAUUUCUGACACUCAUAGACGAAAGCGUGGGGAGCGAACGGG